Molecule: ribosomal RNA, 515 nt
Filed under: uncultured bacterium
Lineage: Bacteria
Description: partial 16S ribosomal RNA
Rfam family: Bacterial small subunit ribosomal RNA
Source: RNAcentral
GGUUAAUGCUAGCGGUGCGCCUAACACAUGCAAGUCGAGCGAAUGGAUUAAGAGCUUGCUCUUAUGAAGUUAGCGGCGGACGGGUGAGUAACACGUGGGUAACCUGCCCAUAAGACUGGGAUAACUCCGGGAAACCGGGGCUAAUACCGGAUAACAUUUUGAACCGCAUGGUUCGAAAUUGAAAGGCGGCUUCGGCUGUCACUUAUGGAUGGACCCGGGUCGCAUUAGCUAGUUGGUGAGGUAACGGCUCACCAAGGCAACGAUGCGUAGCCGACCUGAGAGGGUGAUCGGCCACACUGGGACUGAGACACGGCCCAGACUCCUACGGGAGGCAGCAGUAGGGAAUCUUCCGCAAUGGACGAAAGUCUGACGGAGCAACGCCGCGUGAGUGAUGAAGGCUUUCGGGUCGUAAAACUCUGUUGUUAGGGAAGAACAAGUGCUAGUUGAAUAAGCUGGCACCUUGACGGUACCUAACCAGAAAGCCACGGCUAACUACGUGCCAGCAGCCGCCGUAA